Molecule: ribosomal RNA, 494 nt
Filed under: uncultured bacterium
Lineage: Bacteria
Description: partial 16S ribosomal RNA
Rfam family: Bacterial small subunit ribosomal RNA
Source: RNAcentral
GACGAACGCUGGCGGCGUGCUUAACACAUGCAAGUCGAACGGUGAAGCGCCUUCCUUUUUGGUGGGUGUGGAUGAGUGGCGAACGGGUGAGUAACACGUGAGUAACCUGCCCCCUUCUUCUGGAUAACCGCAUGAAAGUGUGGCUAAUACGGGAUAUUCUGGGUCUGUCGCAUGAUGGGUCUGGGAAAGAUAUUGUUUCGGUGGGGGAUGGGCUCGCGGCCUAUCAGCUUGUUGGUGGGGUGAUGGCCUACCAAGGCGGUGACGGGUAGCCGGCCUGAGAGGGUGGACGGUCACACAGGGACUGAGACACGGGCCAGACUCCUACGGGAGGCAGCAGUGGGGAAUAUUGCACAAUGGGCGCAAGCCUGAUGCAGCGACGCCGCGUGAGGGAUGGAGGCCUUCGGGUUGUGAACCUCUUUCGCCAGUGAAGCAGGCCUGCCUCGUUUGUGGGUGGGUUGACGGUAGCUGGAUAAGAAGCGCCGGCUAACUACGUG